AUGGCGACCGGCGCACGGGUGAGUAACACGUAUCCAACCUGCCGAUAACUCGGGGAUAGCCUUUCGAAAGAAAGAUUAAUACCCGAUGGUAUAAUUAGACCGCAUGGUCUUAUUAUUAAAGAAUUUCGGUUAUCGAUGGGGAUGCGUUCCAUUAGGCAGUUGGUGAGGUAACGGCUCACCAAACCUUCGAUGGAUAGGGGUUCUGAGAGGAAGGUCCCCCACAUUGGAACUGAGACACGGUCCAG
This 245-nucleotide ribosomal RNA is filed under the name uncultured bacterium. Its description in RNAcentral is "partial 16S ribosomal RNA". It matches the Rfam family "Bacterial small subunit ribosomal RNA", at positions 88 to 334 of the family's 1533-position model. The record is from RNAcentral.